This 73-nucleotide transfer RNA is filed under the name Candidatus Zambryskibacteria bacterium RIFCSPHIGHO2_02_39_10. Its description in RNAcentral is "tRNA-Ala". It matches the Rfam family "tRNA". From Rfam's summary of the family: Transfer RNA (tRNA) molecules are approximately 80 nucleotides in length. Their secondary structure includes four short double-helical elements and three loops (D, anti-codon, and T loops). The record is from RNAcentral. Lineage: Bacteria; Candidatus Zambryskiibacteriota.
GGGCCUUUAGCUUAGUUGGUAGAGCGCCUCAUUUGCAAUGAGGAGGUCGGGAGUUCGAAUCUCCCAGGGUCCA